GCCAACGGCCAUACCACGUUUUGAACACACCAUUUCUCGUCUGAUCACUGAAGUUAAGCAACGUCGCGGCCCGCGUUAGUAUUUAGAUGGGUGACCGCCUGGGAACCCCGGGGGCUGUUGGAA
This 123-nucleotide ribosomal RNA is filed under the name Orchesella cincta. The record is from RNAcentral. Lineage: Eukaryota; Metazoa; Arthropoda; Collembola; Entomobryomorpha; Orchesellidae.